This 701-nucleotide ribosomal RNA is filed under the name Microbacterium ginsengiterrae. RNAcentral's name for it is "bacterial SSU rRNA". It matches the Rfam family "Bacterial small subunit ribosomal RNA", at positions 304 to 1014 of the family's 1533-position model. The record is from RNAcentral. Lineage: Bacteria; Bacillati; Actinomycetota; Actinomycetes; Micrococcales; Microbacteriaceae.
CCGGCCACACUGGGACUGAGACACGGCCCAGACUCCUACGGGAGGCAGCAGUGGGGAAUAUUGCACAAUGGGCGAAAGCCUGAUGCAGCAACGCCGCGUGAGGGAUGACGGCCUUCGGGUUGUAAACCUCUUUUAGCAGGGAAGAAGCGAAAGUGACGGUACCUGCAGAAAAAGCGCCGGCUAACUACGUGCCAGCAGCCGCGGUAAUACGUAGGGCGCAAGCGUUAUCCGGAAUUAUUGGGCGUAAAGAGCUCGUAGGCGGUUUGUCGCGUCUGCUGUGAAAUCCCGAGGCUCAACCUCGGGCCUGCAGUGGGUACGGGCAGACUAGAGUGCGGUAGGGGAGAUUGGAAUUCCUGGUGUAGCGGUGGAAUGCGCAGAUAUCAGGAGGAACACCGAUGGCGAAGGCAGAUCUCUGGGCCGUAACUGACGCUGAGGAGCGAAAGGGUGGGGAGCAAACAGGCUUAGAUACCCUGGUAGUCCACCCCGUAAACGUUGGGAACUAGUUGUGGGGUCCAUUCCACGGAUUCCGUGACGCAGCUAACGCAUUAAGUUCCCCGCCUGGGGAGUACGGCCGCAAGGCUAAAACUCAAAGGAAUUGACGGGGACCCGCACAAGCGGCGGAGCAUGCGGAUUAAUUCGAUGCAACGCGAAGAACCUUACCAAGGCUUGACAUAUACGAGAACGGGCCAGAAAUGGUCAAC